Molecule: regulatory RNA element, 46 nt
Organism: Frankia sp.
Lineage: Bacteria; Bacillati; Actinomycetota; Actinomycetes; Frankiales; Frankiaceae
Rfam family: L31-Actinobacteria ribosomal protein leader
Source: Rfam
CCGGCUCCGGUUCACGUCGUCCACGCGAGACGACGACCCGGCGGCC